Molecule: ribosomal RNA, 440 nt
Filed under: uncultured bacterium
Lineage: Bacteria
Description: partial 16S ribosomal RNA
Rfam family: Bacterial small subunit ribosomal RNA
Source: RNAcentral
CCUACGGGUGGCAGCAGUAGGGAAUUUUGCGCAAUGGGCGAAAGCCCGACGCAGCAACGCCGCGUGAUCGAGACGCCCUUCGGGGUGUAAAGAUCUGUCAGUGGGGACGAAACUUGACGGUACGCACAGAGUAAGCACCGGCUAAAUCCGUGCCAGCUGCCGCGGUAAUACGGGGGGUGCAAGCGUUGUCCGGAAUCAUUGGGCGUAAAGGGUUCGUAGGCGGCACGUAAAGUCUGGUGUUAAAGGAAGAGGCUCAACUUCUGUACGGCAGUGGCUACUUGCAGGCUAGAAUGCGGUAGAGGUAGAGGGAAUUCGUGGUGUAGCGGUGAAAUGCUUAGAUAUCAGGAGGAACAUCGAUGGCGUAGGCGCUUUACUGGGCCGUAAUUGACGCUGAGGAACGAAAGCCAGGGUAGCAAAUGGGAUUAGAUACCCGUGUAGUC